This 77-nucleotide transfer RNA is filed under the name Desulfuromonas sp. RNAcentral describes it as "tRNA-Met". It matches the Rfam family "tRNA". From Rfam's summary of the family: Transfer RNA (tRNA) molecules are approximately 80 nucleotides in length. Their secondary structure includes four short double-helical elements and three loops (D, anti-codon, and T loops). Further hydrogen bonds mediate the characteristic L-shaped molecular structure. tRNAs have two regions of fundamental functional importance: the anti-codon, which is responsible for specific mRNA codon recognition, and the 3' end, to which the tRNAs corresponding amino acid is attached (by aminoacyl-tRNA synthetases). tRNAs cope with the degeneracy of the genetic code in two manners: having more than one tRNA (with a specific anti-codon) for a particular amino acid; and 'wobble' base-pairing, i.e. permitting non-standard base-pairing at the 3rd anti-codon position. RNAcentral also lists the same sequence under 16 other names. The record is from RNAcentral. Lineage: Bacteria; Pseudomonadati; Thermodesulfobacteriota; Desulfuromonadia; Desulfuromonadales; Desulfuromonadaceae.
CGCGGGAUGGAGCAGUCUGGUAGCUCGUCGGGCUCAUAACCCGAAGGUCGGGGGUUCAAAUCCCUCUCCCGCAACCA